UUGCUUGGCGACCAUAGCGCUUUGGACCCACCUGAUUCCAUGCCGAACUCAGAAGUGAAACAGAGCAGCGCCGAUGGUAGUGUGGGGUCUCCCCAUGUGAGAGUAGGACAUCGCCAGGCUU
Molecule: ribosomal RNA, 121 nt
Filed under: Grimontia hollisae
Lineage: Bacteria; Pseudomonadati; Pseudomonadota; Gammaproteobacteria; Vibrionales; Vibrionaceae
Also listed under: 1 other name
Source: RNAcentral